This is a long non-coding RNA of Hippocampus zosterae (dwarf seahorse), 843 nucleotides long. RefSeq lists it as uncharacterized. The record is from RefSeq and is a predicted model, not a curated record. Lineage: Eukaryota; Metazoa; Chordata; Actinopteri; Syngnathiformes; Syngnathidae. The transcript is spliced from 3 exons.
GUACGCCGGCCGCGCCCCUCCAACAGGAACUGCAGCUGCCGCUUCCUUUAGAGGAGUGAAAAAUGAGAUGCAGAGAAGCCAGGGAGUUAAAGUGGUGGAGACGGUAGAUGACGAAGGAGCGCCACAGGGCGAGGCCCACCACUGGGUUACCCUGCGGGUGGAUGGUCAGCUGGUCCAGACGGCGAACCUGAGCCAGUGCAGCCAACUGCAGCAGACGGCUGAUGUUGGUUUCCAGGAAAAUAAGAUGCUACAUAAACAAACAAACAAAAAUUCAAACAUGUUGCAUAUUCAGGGUUGCAUAAUUCUUGUGCCUGUAAUCCUCUGUCCUCACCGCCAGAUUGGGAAACUUGACCCUGAUCCUGGGCAGCAUUGGUACAAUGGCGUCAAAAUGGAUGUAACGGAAGGCGAUGACGGUGACGGCGCUGGCCGUCUGUGCCCCCCAUCCUCUCUCCAGCACGUCCAGGGCGCCCAGGCCGAACAAGCGCAGGGUGUCACCGUCCAGCUCGGCCAGAUGAUUGUCGGACAGCGACAGGCUCGUAACGCUUCCUGCUUCGAUUUGGACAAUGUGCUGCAGGGGAUCUGACACAAGCCAGCCGGCCAUCAUCAUCAUCAUCAUCAUCACUGGAUUAUCGGUCUACAUUUUCAGUCUGGGAUCAGCCCAGCUGUUGGAGAGCCAAUACUCCCAGAAUGCAAUGCUGCUAAGCUGUGACAGUCUGUGACAGCCUGAGAUGACACGACACUCUUUUUUGGAUGCAUUGUGUCAAGAGGGUGGAUCUCUGUCAGUUAAGUGAGAUUAAUGUAUGAAGCUGUAAUUCCCUCCCCCCUCCACCCCACCCUACAAUU